GUGAACGCUGGCGGUAGGCCUAACACAUGCCAGUCGCACGGCAGCACAGUAAGAGCUUGCUCUUACGGGUGGCGAGUGGCGGACGGGUGAGGAAUACAUCGGAAUCUACUUUUUCGUGGGGGAUAACGUAGGGAAACUUACGCUAAUGCCGCAUACGACCUACGGGUGAAAGCAGGGGAUCUUCGGACCUUGCGCGAUUGAAUGAGCCGAUGUCGGAUUAGCUAGUUGGCGGGGUAAAGGCCCACCAAGGCGACGAUCCGUAGCUGGUCUGAGAGGAUGAUCAGCCACACUGGAACUGAGACACGGUCCAGACUCCUACGGGAGGCAGCAGUGGGGAAUAUUGGACAAUGGGCGCAAGCCUGAUCCAGCCAUACCGCGUGGGUGAAGAAGGCCUUCGGGUUGUAAAGCCCUUUUGUUGGGAAAGAAAAGCAGCAGGUUAAUACCCCGCUGUUCUGACGGUACCCAAAGAAUAAGCACCGGCUAACUUCGUG
RNAcentral lists this ribosomal RNA (491 nucleotides) under uncultured bacterium. Its description in RNAcentral is "partial 16S ribosomal RNA". It matches the Rfam family "Bacterial small subunit ribosomal RNA", at positions 29 to 507 of the family's 1533-position model. The record is from RNAcentral.